GGAUGUUCCGAGGGGUGCUCCGUGGGGGAGCUGAGAUACCGCAAGCUUGCAAUUCGAAGAUGAAUCGCAAGGACCGCGGUGACCCUUUGAACCUGAUCCGGGUCAUGCCGGCGAAGGGACAGGGAUGCUUCAGAAG
This 136-nucleotide non-coding RNA is filed under the name Nitrobacter sp. Its description in RNAcentral is "TPP sequence". It matches the Rfam family "TPP riboswitch aptamer (THI element)". Rfam says of the family: Vitamin B(1) in its active form thiamin pyrophosphate (TPP) is an essential coenzyme that is synthesised by coupling of pyrimidine and thiazole moieties in bacteria. Lineage: Bacteria; Pseudomonadati; Pseudomonadota; Alphaproteobacteria; Hyphomicrobiales; Nitrobacteraceae. The record is from RNAcentral. RNAcentral also lists the same sequence under 1 other name.